AAGAGAUGUGAUGAUGGAAAUUGUUUUCCCUAUUGGUUUGAUCGCCGAUAUGAUGGCAUCUUACGUAUUAGCUCUAUCUGAUCUUUC
Eutrema salsugineum is the source of this 87-nucleotide small nucleolar RNA. It matches the Rfam family "Small nucleolar RNA Z102/R77". From Rfam's summary of the family: Z102 and R77 and are members of the C/D class of snoRNA which contain the C (UGAUGA) and D (CUGA) box motifs. NCBI's taxonomy places the organism in Eukaryota, Viridiplantae, Streptophyta, Magnoliopsida, Brassicales, Brassicaceae. The record is from Rfam.